GCACAGGUCUGAGAGGGGCAGCGAUGUGUGCAUAUCCCAGGGUCCUGGCCCAGACCUCUGGAGCUGUUGGAGCUGCAGAGAAGAUGCAGCGUUCAGCCCUAAACAGAUGGGAACCUGUCAGCACAACGUGGAGAUAAUUAUCCAUUUGAGCCAUGGGAAGCUUCGUAGCUGAGAGGAAGAUGCUGCAGCCAACACAGCUCUGCUUUAACAUCUUAUCAGUUUUCUCAGGCGGAGCAUAUUGGUUUAGAAGAAGGAGAAUUCCCGAUGGAUUUUUGGGUUAUGGAAGCAGCCGGUUUCUGAGAUGGGCACGUGUGUGAUGCUCACGGUCACCUAAGCAAGUAAAGCUUUUCCCCUUGAAAAUACCCCCUGAGCAUCUGAGUGAAGAGAGCCCAAAGCUGGAGGUGGUAACCAGAGCUCCCAGGCAACAGCAACAUUACAGUUGGGUUUUAAUGUCACAGACGACCUCUUCCACGACAAAGCCAUGUGCAAAGAGAACGCAGAAGAGAUUGGUCCCUGCGGACUCACGGGCUUCCCAGGUGUGAGCACCAAGCAGCCAG
This is a long non-coding RNA of Numida meleagris (helmeted guineafowl), 557 nucleotides long. RefSeq lists it as uncharacterized. The record is from RefSeq and is a predicted model, not a curated record. The transcript has 5 exons. NCBI's taxonomy places the organism in Eukaryota, Metazoa, Chordata, Aves, Galliformes, Numididae.